This 597-nucleotide ribosomal RNA is filed under the name Acremonium sp. MF6. Its description in RNAcentral is "eukaryotic LSU rRNA". The stretch from base 207 to 360 matches the Rfam family "5.8S ribosomal RNA". Lineage: Eukaryota; Fungi; Ascomycota; Sordariomycetes; Hypocreales; Bionectriaceae. The record is from RNAcentral.
GGGGGGGGGACAUUUGCUUAAUCGUUGGUGACCAGCGGAGGGAUCAUUACCGAGUGUAAAAACUCCCAAACCAUUGUGAACCUACCACUGUUGCUUCGGCGGCCUCGCCCCGGGCGCGUUCGCGCGGCCCGGACCCAGGCGUCCGCCGGAGGCUCCAAACUCUUGUCUUUUAGUGUAUUUCUGAGUGGCAUAAGCAAAUAAAUCAAAACUUUCAGCAACGGAUCUCUUGGUUCUGGCAUCGAUGAAGAACGCAGCAAAAUGCGAUAAGUAAUGUGAAUUGCAGAAUUCAGUGAAUCAUCGAAUCUUUGAACGCACAUUGCGCCCGCCAGUAUUCUGGCGGGCAUGCCUGUCUGAGCGUCAUUUCAACCCUCAGGACCCGUUCGCGGGACCUGGCGUUGGGGAUCAGCCUGCCCCUGGCGGCGGCUGGCCCUGAAAUCCAGUGGCGGUUCCCUCGCGAACUCCUCCGUGCAGUAAUUAAACCUCUCGCGGCAGGAUAGCGGUUGAACCACGCCGUUAAACCCCCCACUUCUCAAGGUUGACCUCAGAUCAGGUAGCAACACCCGCUGAACUUAUUCAUAUCAAUAAGGGGGAAGAAUU